CAGUAGCCACGGGAAUACAGAGGGUGCAAGCGUUAAUCGGAAUUACUGGGCGUAAAGCGCGCGUAGGUGGUUUGUUAAGUUGGAUGUGAAAGCCCCGGGCUCAACCUGGGAACUGCAUCCAAAACUGGCAAGCUAGAGUACGGUAGAGGGUGGUGGAAUUUCCUGUGUAGCGGUGAAAUGCGUAGAUAUAGGAAGGAACACCAGUGGCGAAGGCGACCACCUGGACUGAUACUGACACUGAGGUGCGAAAGCGUGGGGAGCAAACAGGAUUAGAGACCCGCGUAGUCCCUGUCUCUUAUCC
Molecule: ribosomal RNA, 301 nt
Filed under: uncultured bacterium
Lineage: Bacteria
Description: partial 16S ribosomal RNA
Rfam family: Bacterial small subunit ribosomal RNA
Source: RNAcentral